Molecule: non-coding RNA, 75 nt
Organism: Trachymyrmex cornetzi
Lineage: Eukaryota; Metazoa; Arthropoda; Insecta; Hymenoptera; Formicidae
Source: Rfam
GAUUCUCUAAAUCGUCCACCUCCUCGCGGUGAGAAUCGGGAAACUUUGAAAUAUUCAAAGGCAAAGGACGCUACU